AACGCACAUUGCGCCCGCCGGUAUUCCGGCGGGCAUGCCUGUUCGAGCGUCAUUUCAACCCUCAAGCCCCCCCGGCUUGGUGUUGGGGCGCCCGGGUCCCCCGCGGCCCGGGGCCCCCAAGUUCAUCGGCGGGCUCGUCGGAGCACUGAGCGCAGUAAAACCGCUAUCACGCGGACCUCGCUCGGCCCGCCCCGGCGCGCACCAGCCGCUAAACCCCCCAAAAAUCACAAGGUUGACCUCGGAUCAGGUAGGAAUACCCGCUGAACUUAA
RNAcentral lists this unclassified non-coding RNA (270 nucleotides) under uncultured fungus. RNAcentral's name for it is "partial contains 5.8S ribosomal RNA, internal transcribed spacer 2, and large subunit ribosomal RNA". The stretch from base 1 to 52 matches the Rfam family "5.8S ribosomal RNA", at positions 103 to 154 of the family's 154-position model. Lineage: Eukaryota; Fungi. The record is from RNAcentral.